CCUACGGGAGGCAGCAGUGGGGAAUUUUGGACAAUGGGCGCAAGCCUGAUCCAGCAAUGCCGCGUGAGUGAAGAAGGCCUUCGGGUUGUAAAGCUCUUUCAGUUGGGAAGAAACGAUUACAACUAAUAAUUGUAAUUAAUGACGGUACCGACAGAAGAAGCACCGGCUAACUACGUGCCAGCAGCCGCGGUAAUA
This 195-nucleotide ribosomal RNA is filed under the name uncultured bacterium. Its description in RNAcentral is "partial 16S ribosomal RNA". It matches the Rfam family "Bacterial small subunit ribosomal RNA", at positions 338 to 525 of the family's 1533-position model. The record is from RNAcentral.